Molecule: ribosomal RNA, 670 nt
Filed under: Caranx sexfasciatus (bigeye trevally)
Lineage: Eukaryota; Metazoa; Chordata; Actinopteri; Carangiformes; Carangidae
Description: partial 12S ribosomal RNA
Rfam family: Bacterial small subunit ribosomal RNA
Source: RNAcentral
CACCGCGGUUAUACGAGAGGCUCAAGUUGACAGACAACGGCGUAAAGCGUGGUUAAGGAAAACAUACAACUAAAGCGGAACCUCCUCCUAGCUGUUAUACGCUUCCGAGGAAGUGAACCCCAACUACGAAAGUGGCUUUAUCUAACCUGAACCCACGAAAGCUAAGAAACAAACUGGGAUUAGAUACCCCACUAUGCUUAGCCUUAAACAUUGAUCGUUUACUACAUCAAAUCAUCCGCCUGGGAAUUACGAACAUUAGUUUAAAACCCAAAGGACUUGGCGGUGCUUAAUAUCCACCUAGAGGAGCCUGUUCUAGAACCGAUAAUCCCCGUUUAACCUCACCCCCCCUAGCUUUUUCCGCCUAUAUACCACCGUCGCCAGCUUACCCUGUGAAGGACUAAUAGUAAGCACAAUCGGCACAGCCCAGAACGUCAGGUCGAGGUGUAGUGGAUGGGAGGGGAAGAAAUGGGCUACAUUCGCUGCCCACCAGCGAACACGAAUGCUACAUUGAAACAUGUAGCUGAAGGAGGAUUUAGCAGUAAGCAGAAAGCAGAGUGUUCCGCUGAAGCCGGCUCUUAAGCGCGCACACACCGCCCGUCACCCUCCCCAAGCAACUGGACCUAAAAUUUUCUUUAAACCCUAACAAACGCGAAGGAGAGGAAAGUCGUAA